AAUUCAUGCUCCCUAGACCUUGAACUGAAACUUUAGUGUAACUAUCUCCCCAAUAAUGCAGAAAGCCACUAUCCAACAAAGCUAUUCCAAGAUUACCCUUCCCAUUUAAAAUUAAAAAAAACCACAUCCUCUGCAACUACUUUUUCCUAUCACCCUCUUCUUCUCAAGAUCCCUCUUCUUCUCAAGAUCCCACUCCUCCGCUGCCACCAACGAGGAUCCCGACCGCCGACACCGCAAGUUGGCCGUUGUCGACCCCUACAAGUUUGAUUCAUCUUCGUCGACGCUCCUUGAUUGUCUUCGCUCCGUUGUCACCCCCUACGGCCAGAAUAAGGAAGCUUGUCAUCGUCUUCACUCCGACAAGGACCCCCACUGACUACUACGCAAAAUCAUCCUCAAGGCCCGUUCUUUUUCCUACAAAUGAGUGUCUUUCAAUUCUUCAAACUACAUCAGAUUCGUUAUGCUUAUUACUUUCACUUGUGUGUUUUGUAUGCCCACCAAGUGUUUGUUGAUAUGCCCAGCUCUCAAUUACCCAAUUCCUGUGAAAUUGAGGGUUUUCAUAGGAGUUGAUGCGUGCUUGGAACUUAACAUGCCGAAUUUUUUGACCAACUCUCUCGCGUAUUUGUUUUGUGACACAAAAAUACCAUCAUUGGUUUAUUUGACUUAGAGACCGAGAAAGAAUGUACGAUUAUGGCAUACAUGCAUAUUUAUACAUCAAAGCGAUUCUAGAAGGAAAUGAGGCGAUGAAUAUUGAAGCUUUACAAAGGGAGUCUGAAAUGUUAAGAGCAGGACUUGCUGCUCAAAUUAUAUGUGAAGGUUGAGAAUUAAGAAGCUGGGAUUGAAGUUAGAUGUAGAUAAUCCUGAAUAUUUUUUAUAUUUUGGGGAUAAUGAUGUCCCAUUGAUUGUGUAGAAGCAUUAGACAAACACGUACAACAUAAUUCUAUGUUGGAUAUGACUAAUUUCUUUAUAAA
Long non-coding RNA from Asparagus officinalis (garden asparagus), 968 nucleotides. RefSeq lists it as uncharacterized. NCBI's taxonomy places the organism in Eukaryota, Viridiplantae, Streptophyta, Magnoliopsida, Asparagales, Asparagaceae. The transcript is spliced from 4 exons. The record is from RefSeq and is a predicted model, not a curated record.